This 256-nucleotide ribosomal RNA is filed under the name uncultured bacterium. Its description in RNAcentral is "partial 16S ribosomal RNA". It matches the Rfam family "Bacterial small subunit ribosomal RNA", at positions 521 to 776 of the family's 1533-position model. The record is from RNAcentral.
UAAUACGGAGGGUGCAAGCGUUGUUCGGAAUUAUUGGGCGUAAAGGGCGUGUAGGUGGCUAUGCAAGUCUGGUGUGAAAGCCCACGGCUCAACCGUGGAACUGCAUUGGAAACUGCAUAGCUCGAGUGUUGGAGGGGGUCGCGGAAUUCCCGGUGUAGAGGUGAAAUUCGUAGAUAUCGGGAGGAACACCAGUGGCGAAGGCGGCGACCUGGCCAAUUACUGACACUGAGACGCGAAAGCGUGGGGAGCAAACAGG